Molecule: ribosomal RNA, 2164 nt
Filed under: Chlamydia trachomatis
Lineage: Bacteria; Pseudomonadati; Chlamydiota; Chlamydiia; Chlamydiales; Chlamydiaceae
Description: bacterial LSU rRNA
Rfam family: Bacterial large subunit ribosomal RNA
Source: RNAcentral
UUGUGUGUUGUAAGGGCGUUCGGUGGAUGCCUUGGCACGUGAUACCGAUGAAAGACGUUGUGGCCUGCGAUAGUCCUCGGGGAGUUGGCGAGCGAGCUGUGAUCCGAGGGUUUCUGAAUGGGGGAACCUGGCUAGAGUUGUGUCUAGUUACCUGCCUCUGAAUGUAUAGGGGGUGUGGGGGUGUGCAGGGAAGUGAAACAUCUUAGUACCUGUUUGAGAGAUAUUCCGUGAGUAGUGGCGAGCGAAAGCGGAGGAGACUAAACCGAGCAUGUGUGAUACUGGUAAGGGGUUGCAUGUUCGGGGUUGUGGGAGUGGCUUGUAUCCUUCUUACUGGGGAUAGUCGAGUGAUAAAGAAUGCAUAUAGCUGAAACAGUUGGGAAGCUGUACCGUAGGGCGUGAGAGUCGUGUAGGUGAAAUGUGUGUUCCUCGUGAGCUGCCACCCGAGUAGCACGGGACUCGUGGAAUCUCGUGUGAAUCUGCACUGACCAUGGUGUAAGUCUAAAUAAUGUUGCGUGACCGAUAGUGGAUAGUACCGUGAGGGAAUGGUGAAAAGUACCCCGUGAGGGGAGUGAAAUAGUUCCUGAAACCGGGCGCUUACAAUCCGUCAGAGCCUUCUUGGUGGGGGUGAUGGCGUGCCUUUUGAAGAAUGAGCCUGCGAGUUAGUGGCAUGUGGCGAGGUUAACCCGUGUGGGGGAUCCGUAGCGAAAGCGAGUGUGAAGAGCGCGGUAUAGUUGCAUGUUCUAGACCCGAAGCGGGGUGAUCUACGCAUGGGCAGUGUGAAGCACGUGUAAGAGCGUGUGGAGGCGCGAACCCACGUCAGUUGAAAAUGGCGGGGAUGAUCUGUGUGUAGGGGUGAAAGGCCAAUCAAACUCCGUGAUAGCUGGUUCUCGCCGAAAUGCAUUUAGGUGCAGCGUCAUGUGGUUCUUGCCGGAGGUAGAGCGACUGGAUGAUUAAUGGCCCGUAUUGGGUACUGAUGUCAGCCAAACUCCGAAUGCCGGUAAGGUGAGCAUGGCAGUGAGACUGCGGGGGAUAAGCUUCGUAGUCGAGAGGGAAACAGCCCAGAUCGCCGGUUAAGGUCCCUAAGGGUGUGCUGAGUGGGAAAGGAUGUGGAGUUGCUGUGACAACCAGGAGGUUGGCUUAGAAGCAGCCAUCCUUGAAAGAGUGCGUAAUAGCUCACUGGUCAAGUGAUUCCGCGCCGACAAUGUAGCGGGGCUAAGUACACCACCGAAACCGUGGCAGUAUGUAUGUACUGGGUAGGCGAGCGUCCCAUAGGCAGUGAAGCCGUCUGGUGAUGGUAUGGUGGAGCGUAUGGGAGUGAGAAUGCAGGCAUGAGUAGCGAGUGACGGGUGGGAAUCCCGUCCACCGUUUGACCAAGGGUUCCAGGGCCAGGUUGUUCCGCCCUGGGUUAGUCGGGUCCUAAGGCGAGGCCGUCAGGCGUAGUCGAUGGGCAACCAGUUGUUAUUCUGGUACCGGCGAAGGACCGUCCAUGCUGAAGCGCGGGAUACUAACCAUCCUUGAUCCAUUGUUUCCAUUUCGGUGGUUGUGGUGGUGAUGGCGUGGGAUCUGAUCGUGUGGUAGGCAAGCGUGUUAACAGGGGUGACGCACAGUGGUAGCUUCCGCGUGGCUAAUGGCUUGCCACGUUUAACAGCGCAGCCCGUCAUAUAGGUAAAUCCGUGUGGCGUAGAGGGUGAGGCUGGAUGAUGACCGGGUUUGUCCGGGAAGUGGGUGAUCCUGUGGUGCCAAGAAAAUCCUCGACGUGAGGUCCGAGCCGCCCGUACCCUAAACCGACACAGGUGGUCAAGCAGAGUAUGCUAAGGUGUUUCGAGUGAAUCGUGGUUAAGGAACUCGGCAAAAUGCCCCCGUAACUUUGGGAGAAGGGGGACCAUUUCUGGUGAUCGUCCAAGCGGCGUGAGCUGGGGAUGGUGGCACAAACCAGGGGGAAGCGACUGUUUAUCAAAAACACAGGUCCGUGCUAACACGUAAGUGGAUGUAUACGGACUGACGCCUGCCCGGUGCUGGAAGGUUAAGAGGAGAGGUCAACACUGUAUGGUGUGAAGCUUUGAAUUUAAGCCCCAGUAAACGGCGGUGGUAACUAUAACCAUCCUAAGGUAGCGAAAUUCCUUGUCGGGUAAGUUCCGACCUGCACGAAUGGCGUAACGACUUC